Molecule: long non-coding RNA, 346 nt
Organism: Vicia villosa (hairy vetch)
Lineage: Eukaryota; Viridiplantae; Streptophyta; Magnoliopsida; Fabales; Fabaceae
Exons: 2
Source: RefSeq, a predicted model, not a curated record
AUCUGAACUAUAUAUAGACUAGUAAGUGACAACAAAAUCAAAUAUAAAGUGAAAUCUUACAUCAUGACUUUCCGAUUCAAUCACCUUUCUCUUCUCUGUUUUUUAAGCAUUAUCCUGAUUUUGCUUUCAGCAGCAUCGGGAAAUGAAUGCAUAGGUACAUGCGAGGAUUUAGGAAGCAAUCCAUGGUGCAAUAAAGGUUGCAUCGAUAAGGGUUUCAAAUCUGGUGAAUGUAUUUAUCGCACUCCAAAUGUUGCGUCUUGUUGUUGUGUCAGUAAUAAUUAAGAAUGAGUUAUUGUAAAAUUAUAACCAUCCAAAUAUUAAAUAAAUACCUCUCCAUUUUCUAUUA